CCUACGGGGGACAGCAGUGAGGAAUAUUGGUCAAUGGCCGGAAGGCUGAACCAGCCAUGCCGCGUGAAGGUCAGUGCCCUAUGGGCGUUAAACUUCUUUUGUGCGGGAGCAAUAAUGGUCACGUGUGGCCAGACGAGAGUACCGUACGAAUAAGCAUCGGCUAACUCCGUGCCAGCAGCCGCGGUAAUACGGGGGAUGCAAGCGUUAUCCGGAUUUAUUGGGUUUAAAGGGUGCGUAGGCUGUGAGGUAAGUCAGCGGUGAAAUGCCCCCGCUCAACGGGGUGAAGUGCCAUUGAUACUGGCUGGCUGGAGUGCGGAUGCCGUGGGAGGAAUGUGUGGUGUAGCGGUGAAAUGCAUAGAUAUCACACAGAACACCGAUUGCGAAGGCAUCUCACGAAUCCGCGAUUGACGCGGAUGCACGAAAGCGUGGGUAUCAAACAGGAUUAGAUACCCUAGUAGUA
RNAcentral lists this ribosomal RNA (460 nucleotides) under uncultured bacterium. RNAcentral's name for it is "partial 16S ribosomal RNA". It matches the Rfam family "Bacterial small subunit ribosomal RNA", at positions 338 to 795 of the family's 1533-position model. The record is from RNAcentral.